RNAcentral lists this ribosomal RNA (253 nucleotides) under uncultured bacterium. RNAcentral describes it as "partial 16S ribosomal RNA". It matches the Rfam family "Bacterial small subunit ribosomal RNA", at positions 524 to 776 of the family's 1533-position model. The record is from RNAcentral.
UACGUAGGGCGCAAGCGCUGUCCGGAAUUAUUGGGCGUAAAGAGCUCGUAGGCGGUUUGUCGCGUCUGUCGUGAAAGCUUGGGGCUUAACCCCAAGUCUGCGGUGGAUACGGGCAGACUAGAGGCAGGUAGGGGAGAACGGAAUUCCCGGUGUAGCGGUGAAAUGCGCAGAUAUCGGGAGGAACACCGGUGGCGAAGGCGGUUCUCUGGGCCUGUACUGACGCUGAGGAGCGAAAGCGUGGGGAGCGAACAGG